UAUCAUCUUUUUUAUGAUAAAUAAAUACAAUCAAAUCCCUAGUUAUAUAAGAAAGUCCUAGGGUCACCUUUUGUUAACUUAGAAUGGAACUCUAUGUAGCAUUUUUUAUUAUUUUGUUGAAUUAGAGUUCGAAUCAAGUCAGGCUAGUCAAGUCACACUCCUAUUUGCGCUCAGCUAAAAAAUUUUCAGGCUUUAAGCUAGGCUUAAGCUCAAAAUUUCUUUCCAAAUUCUAGUAAAAACAUAAGCUUGUGCUUGGCUAGAAUCCAAUCAACCUAGAAUUAGAUAAAGCUAUGUAGGCUAAAAGGCUAGAGUUGACCUGAACUAUUUCGAUUGACCCAACAUUCAUAGCCUCAAGCUAUGAGACUCCUGAAAGAAGAUCCUAAUAAUAAAUUCAGGCCAGAAUUGGAUCGGGUGUGGGCCAAUAGCAGACCAAGCAUCAACCCAAGCCCAACCCGAAUAUUAUUCAUAUCCUACUUUUAGGCCCAAGCCCUAUUCGAAUAAUCUUGGACCUAGCUGGAAUGAUCUUAAGCUUGGCCCAAGGCCCAAAAUCAAAUCUAGGCUGGCUAGAUGGUCCUCAAGCCAACCGAAGCUCAUCUCCAACCCCAUAUCAAA
RNAcentral lists this long non-coding RNA (612 nucleotides) under Phoenix dactylifera (date palm). RNAcentral's name for it is "long non-coding RNA (PDAC_LNC008680)". Lineage: Eukaryota; Viridiplantae; Streptophyta; Magnoliopsida; Arecales; Arecaceae. The record is from RNAcentral.